Molecule: long non-coding RNA, 3138 nt
Organism: Rhopalosiphum padi (bird cherry-oat aphid)
Lineage: Eukaryota; Metazoa; Arthropoda; Insecta; Hemiptera; Aphididae
Exons: 22
Source: RefSeq, a predicted model, not a curated record
GUAUGUCAGAUCACUCAAGGCAUGCAGAUACAUGAAUUCACAUUUCUACCACUUAAGAAAGUAUCAACAUCCUAUGCUGAAAAUGGACUAGAAGAUACUGCUAAUAAUAUUGGGUUUAUGUAAUAUGGCUGUACACCAGAUAUACUCAGGACAUAUUGAUACAUGAAUUACCAUUUCUACCACAUGGGAAAGUUUCAACAUCCUACGUUGAAAAUGGACUGGACGAUCCUGAUAAUUAUAAUAGUUUUAUGCAUAAUUGACGUAUGUCAGAUCACUCAAGGCAUGCAGAUACAUGAAUUCACAUUUCUACCACUUAAGAAAGUAUCAACAUCCUAUGCUGAAAAUGGACUAGAAGAUACUGCUAAUAAUAUUGGGUUUAUGUAAUAUGGCUGUACACCAGAUAUACUCAGGACAUAUUGAUACAUGAAUUACCAUUUCUACCACAUGGGAAAGUUUCAACAUCCUACGUUGAAAAUGGACUGGACGAUCCUGAUAAUUAUAAUAGUUUUAUGCAUAAUUGACGUAUGUCAGAUCACUCAAGGCAUGCAGAUACAUGAAUUCACAUUUCUACCACUUAAGAAAGUAUCAACAUCCUAUGCUGAAAAUGGACUAGAAGAUACUGCUAAUAAUAUUGGGUUUAUGUAAUAUGGCUGUACACCAGAUAUACUCAGGACAUAUUGAUACAUGAAUUACCAUUUCUACCACAUGGGAAAGUUUCAACAUCCUACGUUGAAAAUGGACUGGACGAUCCUGAUAAUUAUAAUAGUUUUAUGCAUAGUACGAGUAAUUGAUAUUGAAUAUAAUUGAUAGUCAAUUAAUAGUAGUGUAACAAAAAAUGGCUGUACACCAGAUAUACUCAGGACAUAUUGAUACAUGAAUUACCAUUUCUACCACAUGGGAAAGUUUCAACAUCCUACGUUGAAAAUGGACUGGACGAUCCUGAUAAUUAUAAUAGUUUUAUGCAUAAUGGCUGUACACCAGAUAUACUCAGGACAUAUUGAUACAUGAAUUACCAUUUCUACCACAUGGGAAAGUUUCAACAUCCUACGUUGAAAAUGGACUGGACGAUCCUGAUAAUUAUAAUAGUUUUAUGCAUAAUUGACGUAUGUCAGAUCACUCAAGGCAUGCAGAUACAUGAAUUCACAUUUCUACCACUUAAGAAAGUAUCAACAUCCUAUGCUGAAAAUGGACUAGAAGAUACUGCUAAUAAUAUUGGGUUUAUGUAAUAUGGCUGUACACCAGAUAUACUCAGGACAUAUUGAUACAUGAAUUACCAUUUCUACCACAUGGGAAAGUUUCAACAUCCUACGUUGAAAAUGGACUGGACGAUCCUGAUAAUUAUAAUAGUUUUAUGCAUAAUGGCUGUACACCAGAUAUACUCAGGACAUAUUGAUACAUGAAUUACCAUUUCUACCACAUGGGAAAGUUUCAACAUCCUACGUUGAAAAUGGACUGGACGAUCCUGAUAAUUAUAAUAGUUUUAUGCAUAGUACGAGUAAUUGAUAUUGAAUAUAAUUGAUAGUCAAUUAAUAGUAGUGUAACAAAAAAUGGCUGUACACCAGAUAUACUCAGGACAUAUUGAUACAUGAAUUACCAUUUCUACCACAUGGGAAAGUUUCAACAUCCUACGUUGAAAAUGGACUGGACGAUCCUGAUAAUUAUAAUAGUUUUAUGCAUAAUGGCUGUACACCAGAUAUACUCAGGACAUAUUGAUACAUGAAUUACCAUUUCUACCACAUGGGAAAGUUUCAACAUCCUACGUUGAAAAUGGACUGGACGAUCCUGAUAAUUAUAAUAGUUUUAUGCAUAGCACGAAUUGACGUAUGUCAGAUCACUCAAGGCAUGCAGAUACAUGAAUUCACAUUUCUACCACUUAAGAAAGUAUCAACAUCCUAUGCUGAAAAUGGACUAGAAGAUACUGCUAAUAAUAUUGGGUUUAUGUAAUAUGGCUGUACACCAGAUAUACUCAGGACAUAUUGAUACAUGAAUUACCAUUUCUACCACAUGGGAAAGUUUCAACAUCCUACGUUGAAAAUGGACUGGACGAUCCUGAUAAUUAUAAUAGUUUUAUGCAUAAUGGCUGUACACCAGAUAUACUCAGGACAUAUUGAUACAUGAAUUACCAUUUCUACCACAUGGGAAAGUUUCAACAUCCUACGUUGAAAAUGGACUGGACGAUCCUGAUAAUUAUAAUAGUUUUAUGCAUAAUUGACGUAUGUCAGAUCACUCAAGGCAUGCAGAUACAUGAAUUCACAUUUCUACCACUUAAGAAAGUAUCAACAUCCUAUGCUGAAAAUGGACUAGAAGAUACUGCUAAUAAUAUUGGGUUUAUGUAAUAUGGCUGUACACCAGAUAUACUCAGGACAUAUUGAUACAUGAAUUACCAUUUCUACCACAUGGGAAAGUUUCAACAUCCUACGUUGAAAAUGGACUGGACGAUCCUGAUAAUUAUAAUAGUUUUAUGCAUAAUUGACGUAUGUCAGAUCACUCAAGGCAUGCAGAUACAUGAAUUCACAUUUCUACCACUUAAGAAAGUAUCAACAUCCUAUGCUGAAAAUGGACUAGAAGAUACUGCUAAUAAUAUUGGGUUUAUGUAAUAUGGCUGUACACCAGAUAUACUCAGGACAUAUUGAUACAUGAAUUACCAUUUCUACCACAUGGGAAAGUUUCAACAUCCUACGUUGAAAAUGGACUGGACGAUCCUGAUAAUUAUAAUAGUUUUAUGCAUAAUUGACGUAUGUCAGAUCACUCAAGGCAUGCAGAUACAUGAAUUCACAUUUCUACCACUUAAGAAAGUAUCAACAUCCUAUGCUGAAAAUGGACUAGAAGAUACUGCUAAUAAUAUUGGGUUUAUGUAAUAUGGCUGUACACCAGAUAUACUCAGGACAUAUUGAUACAUGAAUUACCAUUUCUACCACAUGGGAAAGUUUCAACAUCCUACGUUGAAAAUGGACUGGACGAUCCUGAUAAUUAUAAUAGUUUUAUGCAUAGUACGAGUAAUUGAUAUUGAAUAUAAUUGAUAGUCAAUUAAUAGUAGUGUAACAAAAAGUUAGUGUCAUGAAAUCCAGACCAUUAGAUUAAGUAUAUGAUUCUUAUUUACCAUUUCCAACUUCCAUAUAUAUCAUAUAAGCUGAUACU